Lycium barbarum (goji berry) is the source of this 909-nucleotide long non-coding RNA. RefSeq lists it as uncharacterized. The transcript is spliced from 3 exons. Lineage: Eukaryota; Viridiplantae; Streptophyta; Magnoliopsida; Solanales; Solanaceae. The record is from RefSeq and is a predicted model, not a curated record.
UAUCCAAAUACACCUUCUUGAAAUAAUGAACAGUCAAGUUUCAUUAUUCAGAUUCAAUGUUCCAAUACAUCAAAUGUAACCGGUCUUGACCUCUAGUUGUCAUCUACCUAUAUAAAGGGGUUUUGGGGUCUCUUGUCAACACACAGAAAAUCAUAUCUCAUUCUUCUUCAAAAGCUCUUUUCUCUGGGCAAUAUUCUUUGUGCGAACUCCAAACUUCCAGCCGCUAGUGCAAGUGUUUGGAAGUGUUGUGAAACCUUGGGGAGCGAACGGGCUAAAAGAUUUGCCCCAUAGUUGAUCCGAAUUACCGAAGAUUGCAUCCGACACAGUGAGUAAGGAUCCUUGUGGCUUGCCAUCUACCACUCUAUGCAGAUUCUUCUAUUCACACUGAUGCGGGUCCUAUCUAAACUUGUUCGUGACAUUUUAGAAAUUCAGCUAAGGCUUAGGCAUACCUGCUCAACGCAAUGCUCUUGAGAACCCAUUAAGAGAUUAAUCAAAAACAAGAACAAAAGUGGUGGCUCAGAUCUGCCCGACAAGAUGGGUGGAAGUGGAUGAAGGUUGUUGACGCGGUGGCUUUUGAGUUUUCAUGGUUAGAUCCGGUUAGAUCUUGGCCGGAUCUGGCCGGAUCUACUUAGUUCUGGUCAGAUUUUGCUUUGUCGGAAUCUGGCUGGCGGUGACUUUUCCGGUCAGAUUCCGGUGCCGAAUCUGGAAAAUCAUUUUUUUUUAGUGUAUUCAUUAAAUUUUUAGCAUACAAUUCAGUGUAUUCAUUAAUUUUUUGGCGUACAAUUCAGUGUUUUGUGUAUUUUUAUUUUCUUGUAUUCUGUUUUUGAGUGUAUUCGUUAAUUUUAUUUCUUGUAUACAAAUGAAUACAUUAAUUUUUGAAGUGUAUACAAAUGAACAGAGUGAAUUUUA